This 256-nucleotide ribosomal RNA is filed under the name uncultured bacterium. Its description in RNAcentral is "partial 16S ribosomal RNA". It matches the Rfam family "Bacterial small subunit ribosomal RNA", at positions 1244 to 1500 of the family's 1533-position model. The record is from RNAcentral.
GAGAAGCAAAGCCGCGAGGUAGAGCAAAUCUCAAAAAAACAUCUCAGUUCAGACUGCAGGCUGCAACUCGCCUGCACGAAGUCGGAAUUGCUAGUAAUCGUAGGUCAGCAUACUACGGUGAAUACGUUCCCGGGCCUUGUACACACCGCCCGUCAAACCAUGAGAGUUGGCAACACCCGAAGUCGGUAGUCUAACCGCAAGGAGGACGCCGCCGAAGGUGGGGUUGAUGAUUAGGGUUAAGUCGUAACAAGGUAUC